UAGGGAAUCUUCGGCAAUGGACGAAAGUCUGACCGAGCAACGCCGCGUGAGUGAAGAAGGUUUUCGGAUCGUAAAACUCUGUUGUUAGAGAAGAACAAGGACGUUAGUAACUGAACGUCCCCUGACGGUAUCUAACCAGAAAGCCACGGCUAACUACGUGCCAGCAGCCGCGGUAAUACGUAGGUGGCAAGCGUUGUCCGGAUUUAUUGGGCGUAAAGCGAGCGCAGGCGGUUUCUUAAGUCUGAUGUGAAAGCCCCCGGCUCAACCGGGGAGGGUCAUUGGAAACGGGGAGACUUGAGUGCAGAAGGGGAGGGUGGAAUUCCAUGUGUAGCGGUGAAAUGCGUAGAAAUAUGGAGGAACACCAGUGGCGAAGGCGGCUCUCUGGUCUGUAACUGACGCUGAGGCUCGAAAGCGUGGGGAGCAAACAGG
Molecule: ribosomal RNA, 429 nt
Filed under: Chloroflexota bacterium
Lineage: Bacteria; Bacillati; Chloroflexota
Description: Chloroflexi bacterium partial 16S ribosomal RNA
Rfam family: Bacterial small subunit ribosomal RNA
Source: RNAcentral